GGGCUGUUUGGGUCUGGUGGAGUUAAAAACAAGCUGUGAAUGGGGAGGAAGAAAAGGAAGCUGCUCACAUCCUGUGCUCUCUGACCAGAAUACCCAGUUAGUUCAGGAAGUUUUCAACCAGUCAGUGUCCGAGACACCUCAGUGGGCUUUUCACUUGAGGUUGUACAGACAGGACAAGGGAAGCCUUUGAAGCACAGAUUCUGGAGGCAGAUAUCCAUAGCUUUGAACAAUGGAUAUGUGAUACUGUAACAACAACAAUAAUAAAAUUAACACUGGUGAAAAUUGUUGACAGCCUGGGACACAGCUCAGCAAGAGACGAAUGAAGUAGUUUCUUGUGGGGUGUCGUGGGAGGAAAGUUGGAGUUGAAGAGACUAAAGUAACUUCCAAUUGUAGAAGCUCUGAUUCCACGAAGGAAGAAGGUGACCUUGGAAAAUGUGUUGUCUAUGGAGAACCCAUCAUGAGACAGCUGCUGUCCUAGCAAGAGGGCGCAUCAGCAAACAAGACACACCUGCUCCCCUGCCUGCCUGGACCACAUGUUCUGGAUACUAACUUUCAUCCUUUGGUGCUGGUGAUGUAGAGUGAUGCUAAGUUACACUAUACAUCCUGUUGAGUCUGCAUAUGGUGGUACUAUUUUAAAACUGUGAAAACACAUCUGAACAGGCCCAGGCCUCAGGGUACUAAGACAGCCCAAGGGUUGGCACCCAUCACAGUGGCCAGCUGUGCCCUGCUGCUAGUUUGGUGGCACAGGCGGUUGAGCGCAGCUCUGUGAAGCUGUCUGCAGCCUCUGCAGUGCCGUUUCGAUCCCCACCGGCCUCAGAGCAACCCACAUGGUGCGGCAGACCUCUCCUGACUCAUGCCCUGCUCCCCUCAGCAGUGUAUUUCGUCAGUCUGCCUGUCUGUUCCCCGCUCUGUCUCUGGUGAAUCCUCUCACCCUCCCACGCAUCUGGCUUG
Long non-coding RNA from Talpa occidentalis (Iberian mole), 951 nucleotides. RefSeq lists it as uncharacterized. The transcript is spliced from 3 exons. NCBI's taxonomy places the organism in Eukaryota, Metazoa, Chordata, Mammalia, Eulipotyphla, Talpidae. The record is from RefSeq and is a predicted model, not a curated record.